CCUACGGGUGGCUGCAGUGGGGGAUAUUUGACCAUGGAAGCAACGCUGACCCAGCAACGCCGCGGUAAUGAUGAAGGUCUUCGGAUUGUAAAGUUCUGUGAUGGGGGAUGAACACAAUGACGGUACCCCAAUAGCAAGCCACGGCUAACUACGUGCCAGCCGCCGCGGUAAUACGUAGGUGGCAAGCGUUAUCCGGAAUGACUGGGGGUAAAGGGCGCGUAGGUGGUUUAGUAAGUUGGCGGUGUAAUUCCGGGGCUCAACCUCGGCGCUACCGCCAAAACUAUUAGACUAGAGUGCCGGAGGGGUAAGUGGAAUUCCUAGUGUAGCGGUGGAAUGCGUAGAUAUUAGGAGGAACAUCAGGGGCGAAGGCGACUUACUGGACUGUAACUGACGCUGAGGCACGAAAGCGUGGGGAGCAAACAGGAUUAGAUACCCUGGUAGUC
RNAcentral lists this ribosomal RNA (443 nucleotides) under uncultured bacterium. Its description in RNAcentral is "partial 16S ribosomal RNA". It matches the Rfam family "Bacterial small subunit ribosomal RNA", at positions 338 to 795 of the family's 1533-position model. The record is from RNAcentral.